UGUCUCUCACCCUCUGCCAUGUAAGAAUUCUCUUUCACCCUCUGCCGUGAUCGUGAGACCUUCCCCAGCCAUGUGAAACUUUUUCAGCUUUCCUCCACUGUUUUGGGAAACGUCACCUUCUUAUCUUGGAAGAGUAAUCUCAAAAUUGAAGCAUCUUAGAUCCAACAAGAAUUAAAAGGAUGGGAAGUCCUUGCAGCCAUCCAAUAGAGUCAGAAGACUUUGGAUUUUGGAGUCUGUGAGAUGAUGUACUCACAUCCCAACAAAUUGAAAAUGCUGACCAAUCCCAGCACAGCCAACUCGAAUUUGCUCCUUCAUCAAAGUGACCAGCACCUCAUUUCUUCCUCUUUAGAAUUUAUAGAGUCCUAUGGCUAUUGAUAUCUAACAUCCUGGCUUCACUCACAUGGAUGAGCCCCACCUGGAAUGCCUAGAAGACGUGGGACAGCUGGAUCUCUCUCCACACGGUUUUUCAUUGUUGCCUCAGGUUCCAAUAAAAGCAAAAGCUGCAAGGUCUUCUGAGGCAAAGACUUAGAAAUACCACAAUGUUACUUCUGCUGCAUUCUGUUGAUAAAAGAAUCCCACAAUGCCAGCUUCAUUUAAAGGGGUAAAGAUAUAGAUUAUUCACCUUCGAUGGGAGGAACUGCAAAUGAUGUAAUUAGUGAUAAUUUUUAAUAUACUGUAAUGUAUUGACUUAUCUUUAAAAAAUGAAAAAAUAAACCAAAAACUAAAAGCAAAA
Molecule: long non-coding RNA, 733 nt
Filed under: Homo sapiens (human)
Lineage: Eukaryota; Metazoa; Chordata; Mammalia; Primates; Hominidae
Description: novel transcript
Source: RNAcentral